UUUUCUAUUUUCUAUCUUCCCGUGAAAUCUCCAAACAAACAUAUUCCUGCUUCUCGCCUCUCGCUGCUCUCUACUCACAAACCACGGUGCACUUGCUACUCGUUAUUCACCGUCGUUGGCCUUCCACCACCGGUUGCUCGACUGUCUUGUACUUAGAUUGUAUUUCUUGUUAAGCCGCCAUUUAAUCCUCCAACAGAGAUGAAGAUGAAAUUCAUAAUCUUCAUCGCCUAAGCCUUCAUCUGGAUUAAAUCAUCGGUUUGGGACUACCGUCGACACCCUUUCAUCAUCUCUGUUGCGAAACUGAUGGAGUAAAGCCACCGCGUCGGAGUUUCUCAUAUCUCUAUGAACAGAUUCUACUUGUGGUAAAAUUCCUUCUCUUACUGCUCCUGAAGGCAUUUCUGUUAGAAGCCUCUGUCAAGGUUGAUUUCAUAGCAGGAACAAAAACUAUAUCAUGCCUGGAAGCUACUAGGAAUCUUGUAAUCAAGUUUAAUCAGAACUUUUGUGGGGCAACUAAUGUCUCCUGAUGUCACAUUCUUCUUCGUCACGUGGACUGAGUUCUCUUUCUCCUUCAGUUUAUAGUUCUAGUCACAUUCCUCCAACAUAGAGUUAUUUUCUUCUGACAAAAAUAUAACUUUUUAUGAUUCAUCAUAUUGUUGCAUUGCAGCCUGACAUUGUUGCUCGUGGGGAUAAUAUUCUGGCUUCCUUGUCACCUGUUUAUUCUAGCCUAGAAUCUGAUUCAAGUCAAGAUGUGUAUCUGCUAUUAACUUCACAAUUGAAUCAGUAACUUCAACACCAUGCCCCCACAUAUCUGAUAUUGUCGCAUUUGCUGCAAAGACUAUCCACCCAACUUAGAGCCCCGCCGCAAUUAAAUCUUCCCUUGUCACAAUAGCUUCUCUAAAAAACGAAUGCAGUCAAUACAUUGGAGUCAAGGGAGUAUGUACAAAAAAGCUGGUCCAUUUGGUAAUUAUCAAUAAUUGUCAAUUAUAGCCUGUAGACUUGCCUCACUUAAGGUAAUCAAAAGAAAUAAUAGAACUCAAGUGGCAUAUAUCCUGAAAGUUUGUUUAUAACCAAUGAUUUCUCUUUGCCGUAGGUAUAUACAAGUUAGGAAGUGUAUUAUUCUUAGUAACUGUAGAAUUAAGUCAUGUUCUCCCCACUUCUAACUUCCUGCAAUCCAUUUUCAUGCCGAUUGGGUUAGAAUGUCUUGUACUGAAGCUUUUGUAUUCACAUGAUUUUUAUCAUGUAAUAAAAUAUUUUUAACUUA
Long non-coding RNA from Vicia villosa (hairy vetch), 1261 nucleotides. RefSeq lists it as uncharacterized. The record is from RefSeq and is a predicted model, not a curated record. NCBI's taxonomy places the organism in Eukaryota, Viridiplantae, Streptophyta, Magnoliopsida, Fabales, Fabaceae. The transcript is spliced from 6 exons.